This 253-nucleotide ribosomal RNA is filed under the name uncultured bacterium. RNAcentral's name for it is "partial 16S ribosomal RNA". It matches the Rfam family "Bacterial small subunit ribosomal RNA", at positions 524 to 776 of the family's 1533-position model. The record is from RNAcentral.
UACGUAGGGGGCAAGCGUUGUCCGGAUUUAUUGGGCGUAAAGAGCGUGUAGGCGGCCAGACAGGUCCGUUGUGAAAACUCGAGGCUCAACCUCGAGACGCCGAUGGAAACCGUCUGGCUAGAGUCCGGAAGAGGAGAGUGGAAUUCCUGGUGUAGCGGUGAAAUGCGCAGAUAUCAGGAAGAACACCCGUGGCUAAGGCGGCUCGCUAGGACGGUACUGACGCUGAGACGCGAAAGCGUGGGGAGCGAACAGG